Molecule: ribosomal RNA, 668 nt
Filed under: Xylocopa virginica
Lineage: Eukaryota; Metazoa; Arthropoda; Insecta; Hymenoptera; Apidae
Description: eukaryotic LSU rRNA
Rfam family: Eukaryotic large subunit ribosomal RNA
Source: RNAcentral
UUUCAGGGGUAAACCUGAGAAACCCAAAGAUCGAAUGGAGAGAUUCAUCGACGACGAGACUGGCUCCCGAUGGUGCGCGAUGCCCCGGUGGACCCUUGCGGUUCCACAGCGAGGGCACACCGCCAUCGGCGAACGUUCCGGUGAUGUAGUCGUGCACUUCUCCCCUAGUAGAACGUCGCGACCCGUUGCGCGUCGGUCUACGGCCCGAGUUGGGCGCCUGUGGCGUCGCAAUCUUGCGUACGCGGCAGACCCUCGGUCGCCCGGCCGGCUGCGCGACGGUACUCGUACGGUAUCGGGCCGCAACCAAUCCAUUCUCGAAUGUAUGUGCGUCUAGCCCGCCGCAAGCUCGGUCAGACUACCCGGUGGUACGGACUCUGUGCCGGCGCCGGGCCUGGCCAGCUGUUAGCAGGCGGUGUCCUCGGACUGGCCAAGCUUCGAAUUACCGGUCGGCGACGCUACUGCUUUGGGUACUCUCAGGACCCGUCUUGAAACACGGACCAAGGAGUCUAACAUGUGCGCGAGUCAUUGGGAUGCAUAAACCUAAAGGCGAAAUGAAAGUGAAAGUCGGCCUUCGCGUCGACCAAGGGAGGAUGGGCCGCGUACCCAUGCGGCCUCGCACUCCCGGGGCGUCUCGCUCUCAUUGCGAGAAGAGGCGCACNUAGAGCGUA